AAUUCUCAUAUUUCAAUUCCUAUUAAAUUAACCACUAUUAUUGAUCCCUCUUACCAAACAAAGUACAUCACCAAAUUAAGCAUCCCCCUACCAUUUUCUUUCAUCAUCUUUGGUUUCACUCCUCAACCACUCAAAGUUGAUCUCCAUACUCUCUUAUCACUCUCAAAUCUUUCACUAUUAAUUGCUAAUCUAACAUCUUUACUAGAGACCAAAUACUUUGCCAUCCUCUCAUCCAACCCCGUAACCACUGCUACCAUGUCGAUUGUUCGUAUCACAAAUAGCCUACUUGACCCCCACCGAUAAAUUACCAGACAGUUAAAUCCUUGCUCUCAAUCAUUCUCAAAUUUCGCACCAUUAAUUAUUAAUUUGACGCCUUUACUAGAGACCAAAUCCUUUACCAUCCUCUCAUCCCAAUCCUAUAACCAUCGGUACAACGUCAAUUGUUCGUGUCACAAAUAGCCUACUUGACCCCCACUGAUAAAUUACCAGGCAGUUAAAUCCUUGCUCUCCAUCACUCUCAAAUCUCGCACCAUUAAUUAUUAAUCUAACGUCUAUACUAUAGAGACCAAAUCCUUUGUCAUCCUCGCAUUCAACCCAAUAACCACCGCUACCGUGUCGAUUGUUCGUAUCACAAAUGGCCUACUUUUGACCCUACUGAUAAAUUACCAAGCAGUCAAAUCCAUGCUCUUGUCACUUUCAAUUGUCGCACCAUUAAUUACCAAUUUAACAUCUUUACUAGAGACCAAAUCCUUUGCCAUCCUCUGAUCCAACCCCAUAACCACCGCUACCAUGUCAAUUGUUCGCAUCACAAAUAACCUACCUGAUCCCCCACCAUAAAUUUCUGGGCUGUUAAAUUAUGUAAAAUAAUUAUUAUUCUUCAAAAAGUUAAGUUAUUAGAAAUAUAUAGUAAUUUUAAUAUUUAUAUUCAAUACAGACAAGCUCCUCUUCUACCUUUUAGAUUGAAAGAUCUAAAAAAUUAAUAGCUUAGCACAAUAGAAUUAAAGUAACUCAUUAAGCUAAUAUAUAGAUGGAAAAAAAAUCUAAAUUUAUCAGAAAUUUCGUUAGAAAGUUUUGCUAAACAAACACCAUAUAGCAACAGAAAUUAGGGAAGUUAACUUAUAAGGUACCGUUUGGUUCGGGAAUAAGCAAAAAGUGACUAUUCUAGAAAUACGUAUAAAUUGAGGUAUAAGUGGGGUUUAGAUCAAUUUUGCGUUUGGAUGAAAAUUGGGUUAUUCCUGAGAAUAAAAAAAAUAGCGUUUGGUUAGGUAAGCUGGAAUAAAAAUUUAAGUGGAUAGUUAUAAAUAAAAAAUAAUGAUAUCAUCAUUUUCUUUAUAUUAAAAUUUGAAUUUUUACAUUUUAUAUUUAUAUUUUAGAAUUUAAAAUAUAAACUUUUAAAUUUUAAAUUUUUAAAAUCUUAAAUUUACAAUUUUAAAAAUUAAAAUUUUAAAUUUUAAACUUUAAAUUUAAUAUGAAAUUUUAAUUUAAAAAUACAAAACAUUAAAUUCUAAAUAUAAAAAAUUUAAAAUAUCAAGUUUUAAAAUUUAAAAUUAAACAAUUUAAAAUUUAAAUUUUUAAUUUUGUAAUUUUAAAAAUUAUAAAUUUUUAUUCUUUAACUUACGAAAUUUAAAUUUUAAAAUAAAUUAAAAACUCUCUCUCUCUCUCUCUCUCUCUCUCUCUCUCUCUUCACGAGUGGAACAAGCUAGAUUAUCCUAGCUUAUUCCACCCUGGGGUGGCCCACCUUAACGGGCUAUUCUAGAAUAGCCCGUUAAGGUGGGAAUUAGUGUUCCCACCAAAUUUUCUUUGUGUUUGGGUGAUAAGGGUGGAAUAAACUUUUUAUUCCACCCUUAUCCCCUCAACC
RNAcentral lists this long non-coding RNA (1858 nucleotides) under Ananas comosus (pineapple). RNAcentral's name for it is "long non-coding RNA (ACOM_LNC044722)". The record is from RNAcentral. Lineage: Eukaryota; Viridiplantae; Streptophyta; Magnoliopsida; Poales; Bromeliaceae.